Molecule: ribosomal RNA, 482 nt
Filed under: uncultured bacterium
Lineage: Bacteria
Description: partial 16S ribosomal RNA
Rfam family: Bacterial small subunit ribosomal RNA
Source: RNAcentral
AUUGAACGCUGGCGGCAUGCUUUACACAUGCAAGUCGAACGGUAACAGGCCGCAAGUUGCUGACGAGUGGCGAACGGGUGCGUAAUGCAUCGGAACGUGCCCAGUCGUUGGGGAUAACUACUCGAAAGAGUAGCUAAUACCGCAUACGAUCUAUGGUUGAAAGCGGCGGACCGGAAGGCCUCGCGCGAUUGUAGCUGCCGAUGUCAGAUUAGGUAGUUGGUGGGGUAAAGGCUCACCAAGCCAACGAUCUGUAGCUGGUCUGAGAGGACAACCAGCCACACUGGGACUGAGACACGGCCCAGACUCCUACGGGAGGCAGCAGUGGGGAAUUUUGGACAAUGGGCGAAAGCCUGAUCCAGCAAUGCCGCGUGAAGGAAGAAGGCCUUCGGGUUGUAAACUGCUUUUGUACGGAAAGAAACGGCUCUGGUUAAUACCCGGGGCUAAUGACGGUACCGAAAGAAUAAGCACCGGCUAACUACGUG